ACUGCUUGGAUUCUGAGUUGAACGGUUGUGUUGCCAGACUUUGAGCUGUGACAGUGAGACAGAUAGACAGCGAUGGCUCCAGGUGUCAAGUCCCCCGCAGUCUGAGGCUCCUGGGGAGACACUCUACGAGGGAUGGGACUGCCCUCAGGUCACGGCCAUCCAUAACUACCUGCCGUCACAGCCCGACGAGCUCAACCUCGCUCUGGGCGACAUUGUCAACGUUCUGCGCAAGACUGAAGGGUGGUUUUACGGUGAGAGGACACGGGAUGGCGAGAAGGGUUGGUUUCCCGGCAAUUAUACUCGUGAGAUCGCAUCCAAACAUGUCCGAGCCAGAAACCUCAAACAACGGCAUCGGCUGUUGCAACUGUCUGCUGACUUUGUCCAGCAGAAGAAAAGGUUAAAUAAAAGUCGAUUCAGCAUAAGUUUUUCUAACUCAGUCAACAAAUUUUUUAAUAAUUGUGAAAUAUUAAUACAUCAAGUUGUUUCUCUCGAAAUAUUUCUCCUGUUCGACCUCAAGUGCUGUUGUAGUGAACUAAAAAUGUAUUUUGUAUUUGUAUAUUUUGUAAAAGUUUACAACAAAGGGACCAAUUCGCUUAAAGUUGACUAAUAUAUUUCUGCUAAUUUUUACUUGUCGAGGUGUAUAUUUUUACUGUGCUAGUCAUGUAAUAACUUCUCUGUUAACAAUAUUGUGUAAUUUGUUGAUGAUGGCUGUAUUUCUAUUGUUGUUAAUGUUAGAAUGCUUAUGAUCUUGUUAUCUGUUAGUUUUGUUAUUGCCAAUAUGUUCUGUAAGCUCUGUGCUAUUGAUAUUGCCAUAACAGUUGAAAUAUUAUUUAGUGAUUAAGUCGUCCAAUUAUGUUGACUUGUUUUUAACGCAUUUAUUCAAUUUGCAUUUAUUUUCAAAGAAGAAUUGACAUUCUACAGCUUGUGUGUUUGUAAGUGCCAAAGGUUAUAUAUAACAUGUAAAUUACCUAUUCUGUUGAUUAAAUAAUCUAAUCUACACAAAAGGAAUUUCUAAGAAAUGCUUUAUGUUAGAUUGAAAUCCAAUGAACAUUACCAAUGAGAAAACAGUAAUUUUUUAAAGUACUUGAAAAGCUAAACAACUCAGUUAUUUUAAUCGAAUUCUCACUAAGAAAUUAAGAAAAACCUGUGAAAUUGAGCUUAAAAAUCUUUAAGAACAGAAGAAAAUAAAUACUUUUUACUAACAAUUGAGUAAUUUUUAUUACCAAAAGAUGUUAUUAAAUAGGAAAGCAAAAUGGACAGAGAAUGUUUUUAUUUUAUUGAAUUAUUGCAAUAUUGUUUUUAAUUCCCCUUACAUAAAAUUACUAUCCAUUCAAAAAGUUUAAAUUUCUAAUUCAUGAAAUUUAUAUUUAUUUUUAAUCUUUACACAAGUGUAGUUACCAGAGAAAAAAGAUUACUUUUUUACUAACAUUGUGAUGAAAUUAGAGUCAAAAUUGUGUCUCAUGUAAAGAAACCUCUAUUAAUUAUUUUAUUGUGAGACAUAACAGUUUCUUUGGACAUUUAGAAUUUUAUUGUCAAGCUUGCAUAGUUAAUACUAAUAUCCUAUUACAUAAUAGCUUCUCAUUUCUCUCCAGUGUCACUUUCAAUUACUCAAUUCUUAAGUUAAGGCAAUUGUGUAAUAAUAUAUCAAUUUUUUGUGAUACAUAAGAAAAUGAGUAGUUGUCACAUCAAUACUUUUUAGUAUUUUAGUUUUGAUUUCAUGAAAUAAUAUUAUAUAACUUAUUAAUUGGCAUAAAAACCACUACGAAUCAUGUUAUAGUGUUCAUAUUGAGUAUCUUAUUUAUUGUAAAUUAAUACUAUUAAACUUAGGACUUCGUACUUAUUUUUUGUAAAAUGCAUUGUACAAAUGUGUAUAAACAGCAAAUCGUAACUUUUACAUUCCACAAUGACCUUGUAAAUAUCUGUUUAAAAAUAUGUUGAAUAAAAAUGUUUUCUAUCAAAAAAA
Molecule: long non-coding RNA, 1963 nt
Filed under: Homalodisca vitripennis (glassy-winged sharpshooter)
Lineage: Eukaryota; Metazoa; Arthropoda; Insecta; Hemiptera; Cicadellidae
Description: uncharacterized LOC124366209
Source: RNAcentral